Nicotiana attenuata is the source of this 159-nucleotide long non-coding RNA. RefSeq lists it as uncharacterized. The record is from RefSeq and is a predicted model, not a curated record. The transcript has 2 exons. NCBI's taxonomy places the organism in Eukaryota, Viridiplantae, Streptophyta, Magnoliopsida, Solanales, Solanaceae.
AAACUAGAAGAUGCAUCUGGCAAAGAAUGUAAAGCAUUGACGACGCUAAAGAAUGGGGCAUAUAUAGUUGCUCCGUGUCCGCAUGAUGGACGUUGUCCUAUGGAUAACACUGGAAAAUAUUGUCAUUUUGUUCAACGCUUGCAGAGGACAACAUCACAA